GAUGAAGAACGUAGCGAAAUGCGAUACUUGGUGUGAAUUGCAGAAUCCCGUGAACCAUCGAGUCUUUGAACGCAAGUUGCGCCCGAAGCCAUCAGGUUGAGGGCACGUCUGCCUGGGCGUCACAUAUCGUUGCCAAAUGCCUAUUGCAGUGCAAUAGGAAUUUCUAGGGCGAAUGAUGGCUUCCCGUGAGCGUUGUUGCCUCGCGGUUGGUUGAAAAUCGAGUCCUUGGUAGGGUGUGCCAUGGUAGAUGGUGGUCGAGUUAGAACGAUACCGAUCAUGUGCAUGCUCCCCAAAAUAUGGCCUCUAUGACCCACACGCGUCUUUUGACGCUCAUGACGAGACCUCAGGUCAGGCGGGGCUACCCGCUGAAUUUAAGCAUAUCAAUAAGCGGAGGA
Molecule: unclassified non-coding RNA, 395 nt
Filed under: soil metagenome
Description: partial contains 5.8S ribosomal RNA, internal transcribed spacer 2, and large subunit ribosomal RNA
Rfam family: 5.8S ribosomal RNA (bases 1-122)
Source: RNAcentral